Anopheles gambiae str. PEST is the source of this 195-nucleotide non-coding RNA. It matches the Rfam family "drz-agam-2-2 ribozyme". The record is from Rfam. Lineage: Eukaryota; Metazoa; Arthropoda; Insecta; Diptera; Culicidae.
ACCACCAAAUUAUCUGCAAAUGGGGUAAGAUCCGACACCUCCUUGAAGGUUAAUAUAGGCUCUCUUACUCAACUCCUAUCCUGCGACGUCCGUUUCGUGCAGUGGUAACAUGUAUCAUCGUAUAUCCAAGCUUGGGUAGACGGGCCCAGUCCCAACCCCUUGGGCGGAUGAUGGUACAUGGCCAACCAGGAGGGG